CUGAUGUACGGUUCGCAGGUUUGUGUAUAUUUUAGAAUAUGCACAAUCAUUAAAACCAGAAUUUAUCAGCUGACACCGCAGCCUUCUUCACAGGUGAAAGGCCGUAUCAUUGCAAGGACUGUGAUAAACAGUUCACUCAACUAAGUGCCCUGCAGAGACAUCAGAGAAUCCACACGGGAGAGAAGCCGUACAUGUGCAGCAUGUGUGGAAGAACAUUUACUGACAAAUCCACCGUACGCCGACACACCCUGACUCAUGACAAACAAACUCCAUGGAAGAACUACCUGGUUGUUCUGAAGGGAAACGUUGAAGACAGAGCCAAGAAACCGAAAGGCUCUUCUCAGAAGAAGGACAAGGCGUCUGUCGCUGUUUCUGAAGUGCAGGCUCCUGAGAACAACGCACAGAAGACCCAAGAAGUGGUGGCUGUGUCCGGAGAGCCCGUGACCAUUUCCGGAGACUGGGCCGGACCUGGAACCAUCGCACUUGUCAGCCACACGGCCCUGGGCGGCCUCACGGUCAUCCAGACCGAAGUUCCCGCAGGCACGCAUCUGCAGCCCUUAGUCACCACGGACGGCACCAGCGUGAUCUCUCUGGAUGCUUCUGCGGUCGGGAUGCCUGUGACCGUUCCCUUUUCCAUCCCCAUUUCGGUCGCGCAUUCCAUCGGCCUGUCCCCUUCGAUCUACGGUCCUGUGCCCAUCACUGUUGCCGGUCACGUUUCAGAUGUCAUACUGGCUCCGGCAACCACUGAAGCAACCGAGAACGGUCUGGCUUCGGCUGAGUGUGUGUCUGUCCAGGCUGUUACGGUGGGAGAAACGGACUGUGCAGACACCCAACAGGAAGUCAGCGAAAGCAUACAGACUGCAGAGGCUUCAAACAACAUAGAAAUCUCAGUAGGAGAGUAGAUUCUACCGGCUUCAGUUGCAAAUACUCGUUAAUCAUGAUGGCAAUCAAGCUUUGCUUUAAAUUAUCAGCUGUAAAUGCACUUUUGCUUUAUAAAACCUGUGUGUAUAAUGUGUGUGUAACUAGUACAAUUCUUGAAUCACAAUGUUCAAUUCUGCUCAGGUUUGUUUUUGACAACAUAUACCAUUUCCAUUUCCAGGGAACGUCUUGUCAUUAAAUAGUUUUUUUAGUGAUUCUUGUAAAAACAAAAAUUUGCUUUUCAUUGUCAGUAAUGCUGUUUGCUGAUAUUUAUUAUGUUCAACACUACAUCAAUGUGAACUGCAUAUUAACACAAUACUUCAUUUUUAGUACCCUAUUACGUGUAUAAUGAUUUGCAGUCAUGACAGCGCUCCUUAAAAUCAUUCAAUAAAGUGUUUAUUGAAUUCAGCUUCCUUUUUUCUUUUAAAUGUCUAAUUUCUUUUUUUUUUUUUUUACAUUUUUGAUUUAGUUUUGGAUUGAAAUAUAGAAAAUAUA
Molecule: long non-coding RNA, 1413 nt
Filed under: Sinocyclocheilus grahami
Lineage: Eukaryota; Metazoa; Chordata; Actinopteri; Cypriniformes; Cyprinidae
Description: lncRNA (ENSSGRG00000053013.1)
Source: RNAcentral